RNAcentral lists this ribosomal RNA (268 nucleotides) under uncultured bacterium. Its description in RNAcentral is "partial 16S ribosomal RNA". It matches the Rfam family "Bacterial small subunit ribosomal RNA", at positions 86 to 353 of the family's 1533-position model. The record is from RNAcentral.
AGAUGGCGACCGGCGCACGGGUGAGUAACACGUAUCCAACCUGCCGAUGACUCGGGGAUAGCCUUCCGAAAGAAAGAUUAAUACCCGAUGGCAUAGUUCUUCCGCAUGGUAGAACUAUUAAAGAAUUUCGGUCAUCGAUGGGGAUGCGUUCCAUUAGGUUGUUGGCGGGGUAACGGCCCACCAAGCCUUCGAUGGAUAGGGGUUCUGAGAGGAAGGUCCCCCACAUUGGAACUGUGACACGGUCCAAACUCCUACGGGAGGCAGCAUG